CCUACGGGAGGCUGCAGUGGGGAAUAUUGCACAAUGGGGGAAACCCUGAUGCAGCGACGCCGCGUGAGUGAUGAAGUAUUUCGGUAUGUAAAGCUCUAUCAGCAGGGAAGAAAAUGACGGUUCCUGACUAAGAAGCCCCCGCCAAAUACGGGCCAGCAGCCGCGGUAAUACGUAGGGGGCAAGCGUUAUCCGGAUUUACUGGGGGUAAAGGGAGCGUAGACGGGUGUGCAAGGUAGAUGUGAAAGCCCGGGGCUCAACCCCGGGACUGCAUUUGGAACUGUUUGGCUAGAGUGUCGGAGAGGCAAGCGGAAUUCCUAGUGUAGCGGUGAAAUGCGUAGAUAUUAGGAGGAACACCAGUGGCGAAGGCGGCCUACUGGACAGUAACUGACGUUGAGGCUCGAAAGCGUGGGGAGCAAACAGGAUUAGAUACCCGUGUAGUC
RNAcentral lists this ribosomal RNA (440 nucleotides) under uncultured bacterium. RNAcentral's name for it is "partial 16S ribosomal RNA". It matches the Rfam family "Bacterial small subunit ribosomal RNA", at positions 338 to 795 of the family's 1533-position model. The record is from RNAcentral.